RNAcentral lists this ribosomal RNA (365 nucleotides) under uncultured bacterium. RNAcentral's name for it is "bacterial SSU rRNA". It matches the Rfam family "Bacterial small subunit ribosomal RNA", at positions 29 to 418 of the family's 1533-position model. The record is from RNAcentral.
AACGAACGCUGGCGGCAGGCCUAACACAUGCAAGUCGAGCGGGCGUAGCAAUACGUCAGCGGCGGACGGGUGAGUAACACGUGGGAAUAUGCCUUUCGGUUUGGAACAACUCGGGGAAACCCGUGCUAAUUCCGGAUACGCCCUUAGGGGGAAAGGAUUUAUCGCCGAAAGAUUAGCCCGCGUCCGAUUAGCUAGUUGGUGAGGUAACGGCCCACCAAGGCGACGAUCGGUAGCUGGUUUGAGAGAACGACCAGCCACACUGGGACUGAGACACGGCCCAGACUCCUACGGGAGGCAGCAGUGGGGAAUCUUGGACAAUGGAGGAAACUCUGAUCCAGCCAUGCCGCGUGAGUGAUGAAGGCCUU